RNAcentral lists this ribosomal RNA (497 nucleotides) under uncultured bacterium. Its description in RNAcentral is "partial 16S ribosomal RNA". It matches the Rfam family "Bacterial small subunit ribosomal RNA", at positions 28 to 507 of the family's 1533-position model. The record is from RNAcentral.
GAUGAACGCUGGCGGCGUGCCUAAUACAUGCAAGUCGGGCGAACAGACGAGGAGCUUGCUCCUCUGACGUUAGCGGCGGACGGGUGAGUAACACGUGGAUAACCUACCUAUAAGACUGGGAUAACUUCGGGAAACCGGAGCUAAUACCGGAUAAUAUAUUGAACCGCAUGGUUCAAUAGUGAAAGACGGUUUUGCUGUCACUUAUAGAUGGUUCCGCGCCGCAUUAGCUAGUUGGUAAGGUAACGGCUUACCAAGGCGACGAUGCGUAGCCGACCUGAGAGGGUGAUCGGCCACACUGGAACUGAGACACGGUCCAGACUCCUACGGGAGGCAGCAGUAGGGAAUUUUCCGCAAUGGGCGAAAGCCUGACGGAGCAACGCCGCGUGAGUGAUGAAGGUCCUCGGAUCGUAAAACUCUGUUAUUAGGGAAGAACAAAUGUGUAAGUAACUAUGCACGUCUUGACGGUACCUAAUCAGAAAGCCACGGCUAACUACGUG